CAUUAACUCUGCUCAUCAUGGACUAUUAUGGUCUGUCUCUGCUCAUCGCCUCUCUGCUAACAGGAAUCAGAUGUGAUGAACUCAGUCCCAUGAAGAUCGAACUGAUCAGCUUCGAAGGCAGUUCUGUUAAUCUAACUUACGGUCUAGCCAGAGAAGCUCGAAGCAACGACUAUUUCUACUGGUACCGUCAGAACCCAGGAGAACCUCCAGAGGUUCUGAUCUCCCACUCUGCUUCAGGAGCUGAAGGGGUUAAAAAACUUCCUGAGCUGAAGAUUGAAGUGAGGAAAACCCAGAUGGAUCUGCUGAUCUCCUCUGCUGCAGUGACAGACUCUGCUGUGUACUACUGCGCUCUGAACCCCGCACCUGGACGAAUCAGCGUGGCCGGCUCUGAGCCGAAACCCACCUUCAGCUUCAACGCCUGCUCCGCCAAAGAAAGACAAACAAGCAGCUGCAACCAAAACGCCUCCACCGACCCUGCUGACCCCACCGACCCCGCUGACCCCACCGACCCCGCUGACCCCGCUCCCAGGGACAAAGCAACCAGCAAGAGCCUCAAAACAUUCUGA
This is a non-coding RNA of Poeciliopsis prolifica (blackstripe livebearer), 566 nucleotides long. The record is from the annotation of a RefSeq genome assembly. NCBI's taxonomy places the organism in Eukaryota, Metazoa, Chordata, Actinopteri, Cyprinodontiformes, Poeciliidae.